Molecule: ribosomal RNA, 253 nt
Filed under: uncultured bacterium
Lineage: Bacteria
Description: partial 16S ribosomal RNA
Rfam family: Bacterial small subunit ribosomal RNA
Source: RNAcentral
UACGAAGGGGGCUAGCGCUGGUCGGAAUCACUGGGCGUAAAGCGCACGCCGGCGGAUCGAUAAGUCGGGGGUGAAAGCCCGGGGCUCAACCUCGGAAUUGCCUUCGAUACUGUCGGUCUCGAGUCCGGGAGAGGUGAGUGGAAUUCCUAGUGUAGAGGUGAAAUUCGUAGAUAUUAGGAAGAACACCAGUGGCGAAGGCGGCUCACUGGCCCGGUACUGACGCUCAGGUGCGAAAGCGUGGGGAGCAAACAGG